Molecule: transfer RNA, 72 nt
Filed under: Schistosoma japonicum
Lineage: Eukaryota; Metazoa; Platyhelminthes; Trematoda; Strigeidida; Schistosomatidae
Description: tRNA-OTHER
Source: RNAcentral
AACUCAGUGGUCUAAUGGUAAAGCGUUCGCCAUAAAGUUAGAUUGUCAUAGGUUCGAUUCCUGACUGGGUUG